RNAcentral lists this long non-coding RNA (7551 nucleotides) under Gossypium barbadense (sea-island cotton). RNAcentral describes it as "long non-coding RNA (GBAR_LNC007136)". Lineage: Eukaryota; Viridiplantae; Streptophyta; Magnoliopsida; Malvales; Malvaceae. The record is from RNAcentral.
AGAAAGAAAGGAUGAAACGAAACAGAGAGCAGGGGAAAGAAAGAAGGAAGGAAAAAAGAAAGAAGGAAAAAGGGAAAAAUUGGGAUUUCAAGGCUUAAAAGUUAAAUAGGUAAGUCAAUUUAGCCAUUUUUACUUAAUUUUGAUGUUUUGGAAGCUUUGAGACAAGGUUUUGAUGAAAUUAAGUGAAUAUUUUGAAAGUUAUUAGAUUUUUAAAUAUCGUUCAUGUUGAAUAAAAAGAUGAAUUAGAGGUUAGAUUGAUAGGAAUUCAAGUUAGAAAUGAAAUAAGGAUUGAAUUGUAAAGUAAUUCAUAAGUUUUAUGUUGUAGGGACUAAAUUGAUGAAAUUUCGAAAUUAGGAAAAUAUGCUGGAAAUUUAAUAGUUAAGUAUGAGUUUAGUUAAAAAUUGAGUAGAAAUAAAGUAUAAAUUAAGAUAGAAAAGUAAGUGAAUUUAGUUAGGAUUAAAUUGAAAUUAAAAGUAGAAAAUCAACAUUUUGCACUAAGACUAUUUUGGACAGCAGCAGUAGUCUAAGUUUGAAAAAUCACCAAAAAUUGUAUAAAUUGAAUUAGAGAAUUAAUAAAAUAUAUAAUUAAAUCUUAUUGAGUCUAGUUUCUUAUAGAAGAAACGGUGUAAACAAUUGAGUUGUAAAUUAUGAGAUAUAAUAAAUUUUGUGAGACAAGGUCAGAAUGAAUUCGGGUUCCUCUGUUCUGACUUUGGAAAAUCACCAAAAAUUAGAGAAAAAUAAUUAGAGGCUUAAAGUUAUAUGUUUAGAAUCCCUAAUGAGUCUAUUUUCAGUAUAAAUCAACGGGAAUAUUAUCCGAGUUCUUUACUGUGAGAUAAUUAAUUCUUAGUGAAGAAUGUUCGAAACUGUCAGACAGCAGAAUAGGGGUGAAUUUAAAGAAUAAACUGUACUUAAUGGCUAAACUAAAAAUUCUGAAAAUUUUAUGGUAAGAAGAUUUGUGAGUCUAGUUUUAGGAAAAAUUAGCGAAUCUUAAUUUAGAAUUCUGUAACUCAAGAUAUAAAUUAGUAAUGUAUUAAUGAUUAUGAAUUGUAUUAAUUACGUAGUCAAUGUGGUGCCGAAAAUCUCGGCUAAGAAAGGACAAGAUAAAGUCAACAGGAGUUAGCUCAAAAACUACGUUUGUAUUUUUAUAAUCUGAACCUAGUUAUUAAUUGUUAUAAUUUUUUUAUUAAUGCAAUUAAUAAAUGUUGAAGUGAGAAUUAUUGUGUUUAUAAUGGAAAUGGAUUAAUUUAGUGUGUGAUAAAUUUAUAUUGAAUUGAUUUAUGAAUAUAUAUAAAUGUUUGAAUUGAAAUGAAUAUUGAUGUGAAAAUUGAAUAAUAAAUAUUUGUUAUAUUGGAAAAUAUAUGUAGUUGGAAGUGUGAUAAAAUUGAUAGAAAAUUUUGAUUAUUAUGGAAUUGAAUAUUUAUUAGUGAAAAGUGAAUGGAAUUAUAUUGAAUUGAAAAUAUAUAGUUAAUUAAUUAAAAUAUAAAUUAAUUGAAAACUGAAAAAUGAACUAAAUACCCUAUUAACUAGUCAGACUAGUCGGAUAUAAUUGGCAUGCCAUAGGAUAUGGAAGAGUACGGGUUUUGCCGGCUUACUGAUUAGGAACUUAUGUGCUGACUACUGUUACUGUUACCGUUACUGUUACCGAUUCAGCACUUUGUGUGUCAGAUAUUAUUACUGUUACCGUUACUGUUACUGUUUUGGAUUUGUUCCGAUGAGGUACUCUGUGUACCGUACUGCUACUGUUGCUGUUACUGUUCCGGCUUCGACCGAUGAGGCACUAUGUGCCGUACUGGUGUGUUGGUUGGAUACGUGUAUCCAUCUAGGUCCGAGUCAUGUUAAUAGGGGUAAAUAAAGGAACUGGAAAGAUCGACUGUUACUAAAUAAUUUAAUUGUUACUGUAUAUCUGAUUUUUACUGAAUAAUUGGCUGUUACUGGAUAACCGAUCAGUUGAUUGAUACUGAACAACUGAUUAUUAUUGAAUAAUUGAUUGUUACCGAAUAACUGACUGUUACUGAAUAAAUAAUUGUUCUGAUUGUUAAUGAACAUUACUGAUUGAUUAAUUCUAUUGAAUUUAAUAAAUGAUUUGAAAUUUAAAGUAAACCAAAACAAUGGUUGGAAAGUGAAUGUUUGAAUACUCAUCGAGAUUGAAUAGUUCAGUAUAUAUAAAUUAAUAAGUUUUAUAAUUGUUUAAGUGUUCGGAUUAUAGAAAUACCACUGAGUGUAUACUCAGCGUAUGGCUUGUUUCCGUGCGCAGGUUAAGGCUAGACUGUUGAAUCAGCAUCCCAGGCCGAUCCCGAAUUCAAUGAGGUAAAGUAUGUUGAGUAUUGAUAAUGGCAUGUACCUAGGAUGUUUAAUGAGAGUUAUUUAGGUUGUAAAAGUAUUGAUGAAAUAAGUAAAUUAUGGUUGGCAACGGUAUAUAGUAUGAAUUUUGAAAUUUAUUAAAAAUUCAUAGUGAUUCUAAAUUAGUUCCAAAUUGAAUUUACUGUUCAUAUUGGAUCGCGAGGGCCCAUUAAUGGGACGACAUCUUAAAACUAGGGUGAGUGUGAAUAUUUAUUUUAAUUAAUAACCGGAAUUAGGCUGUACUGACUGGUAAUGUCUUGUCACCCUGUUCUGGCGACGGUAUAGGGUUAUGGGACGUUACAAUAUUUUUCCAAAAAUAAUUUAAUUCUAACAAUAGAACAUAUAUAUAUUACCACUCACCAAUUACCAUUCAUUUUAAUCAAAAUUAUAUAGAAUAAAUUUUAUACGAACUUACCUAAAUUGAAUUGUAAUAAUUGUAGGAAUACAGGGGCUAUUCUGCUAUUUUUCCUUUUUCACAAAUAUCUACAAGAUCUUGAUCUAAAAUAUAAAAUUACUCAUUCAUUAGCAUAUAUUUCAGUUCCAAUUCAUUUUACAAUUUAUACCAUUUACAAUUUCAAAUUUACACAAUUACCCCAACUUUUACAACUUUUGCAAUUUAGUCCCUUAACUAGUUAAUCUAUCAAAUCAACUAAUUUUUCUCAAUUAAUAAUUUAUACAAAUAUUCUAGGCUAUCAUACAACCCUUAAUACCAAACCUUAACAUUUUAACCUUUUCACAAUUUGAUCCUAAAAUCAAUACUUAACAAAAUCACUUUAUAUAGUCAUCAUACAACAAAAUUAAAGCUUUAAAUCCACUUGAUAUAAAUUAAUAAUUUCUUUCAAUAUAUUAAUUUAGACAAUAAAACAAUUCUUUUCAUGCAAUUUGGUCAUUUUUGACAUUUUUAACAAAAUUUCCCUAAAAUUUUACUUUUAAUCAAUUUAGUCCAUAAGCCUAAAACAUGCAAAUUAACCAUUUUUAAUGUAAACUUAUGCUAGCUGAAUAUUCAUGGCAUCAAUACAGCCCAUUUUUAUGCUUUUCUAUCACUACUAAACUUAAAAAUAAGAUAAAACCUUAACAUUCAUACCUUAUUCUCUUGAAACCAAACUUUAACUUAACUUUCUGUCUCCUCCGGCUUCUAUUUCUUGAAUCUAACUUGAUAUUCUAGCUCCCCAUAGUCUCCUUAUUAUCUUUCUCUCUUGAUGGCUAUAGAAAUUAUUUUGAUUUCUAAGUGAAAAUGGUGAAUUUUUGGUAAAAUGACCAAAUUGUAAAGAAAAGAAAAUUUUCUUUCUUUCUUCUUCUUCUCACGUUGAGAUCAUGGAAAGAUGAAGAGAAUUCAUCAUCUUUCUUUCCUUAUAUACUAAAUAAAUAAUAAUAAAAUAUAAUUCAAAGUCAAAUCAAAAUAUUAAUAAACUAAUAUUUAUUUAUUUAUUUAAUCUAAACUAUUACCAACAUCAUCAUUACUCUUCAAAAUUAUCUUCCUUACUAAUGAUCAUUUUGCUCCUUAUGAUUCUUCAAAAUUCCUCCAUUGACUUAUCAUUCAUUUUAGUAAAAUUGUGAUUUAACCCCUCAUACUUUUUCCAUUUAUUCAAUUUGGUCCUAAUUCAUCCAUUUUCCUUAGUUUAAAGAUUAUUCCACCCUUAAAAUAUUUGCACUAUUGGUCCUUUAACUUUUGAUAUUUACAUUUUAACCCCUCAAAUUUUGAGUAUUUACUUUUAAGCCACAAAAUUUUUCUCACUUUUGCGAUUUAGUCCUUUCUUGAAUUAAUACAUCAGAAUAUACUUCCGAAAUAAAUUUUGUUGACAUAACUCAAAAUUCCCCUUUUUUUCACUUUAUUUCUUAUUUUAUUAUAUCAAUGACAAUAUUUCGCUUUCUUACUGUAGCAAUUUUCGGGGUAUUACAAGCUAAAUUUAUAUCGGCAGAUGAGAUGAAGCCUAUCCCAAUAAUUAAGAGAUUUACAAGAUUUACAUAAUCAAAUCAAAUCUAAUCUUAUCAGAUAUGCCUCAAUCUUAUAAGAUUAGUUUCCCUAUUUACCAAGGUAGCCUAAUUUUCCAUAUAUGCUUCAUUGGGCCACCUAGGCUUCAAAUAGAUAGGCUUCUCCAUCAGUUCUUUGAAUCGGGUUAGUUUUUGUUAGUCAAAUAAUCUUCAUCUAACCAAUAGACCUCAAGGGAUGCAUUUUAUACAAUGGUCAUGGGCUUUGAACUGCGACUUGUGACACAAACUUGUUGAAAGAACAUCUUUUCUAAGUUACCCUUUCCUUCCAUUCUUAUGUGCUAAUUUGAUGAAUGAAACUCUUACAAAGUUGUUGUAUAAUGUAAGCUAAACGAUAAGAAAUUCGCUUUAUUAUAUUAAAAGUAAUAAGUUUUACACUAUUUUUUAAUCAUUAAUCAAAAUAAAUAUUUGGAAAUGAAAUUAAUCAAAAGCGAAAAAGCUUGAAUAAGAAAAUUGUGGUUCAAUUCAAUUUUGUUAAAUCAAUCUCCUCUUGGCAGCCUAUCUUAUUUUGUAACACUUUGGAACUUAACUACCCUAUAAUAUAUUGUCAGGAAGUUUAAGGAAUGAUUUAUAGUUUCAUACUCUAAAUUAACUAGACUUCAACCUUUAAUCAUAGAUGCCCUAACAAUUAAAAAUAUGUUCUUUAAAAUUUGUAGAGAAUAAAGCCUUUACUUAAUAGUAAAAUUGAGGUCGCAUGUUUGAGUUACAAUCAUGUAAAUUAUAUCUGAAUUAAUUUGAGUUGAGCUAUUUAUUGAAUCUAGUACUUAUGAUUAUUUAUUUUGAUAAUAAUUGCAUAUGUAUUUGUUUAAUUACUUUUUAGAAUGUCUAUUUCUAGUCAUAGACCCAAAUCCUUAAAUUAGAGAAAAACACGUUUAAAUACGCUUGAACCAAUUUUGUUCUUAUUGUUGUAAAAGUUAUGAUACCAAUUGGACUAAGUCUCAAGUCAUUGUAUUUUUUAGUUAUAUUAUCUUUUCUUGUCAUAUUUAUGUAUGUUAAAAGUUCCAUAUAUUUUACGAAUAAAAAAGUAAGUGUCAUAUAUGCACGGACGGAUUUAGGGGUUGGUGGGUUGGUAGGGGCGUUGGCCCUCCUGAAAAGAAAAUUUUCUUUUUUUAACUUUUUUAUAAUUUAUAAAAUACUAAAAAAGAAAUGAUAAAGUUGCACUUUACCCCCAAAAUGAUAAUUUUUUAUUUAAUCUUUUAAAAAAUAUAAAGAUAUAAACUAUUAAAAUGAUAAAAUUAUACUUUUGCUAUCAUAAAAAUAUACAACUUAAUCUAGUAAAAAAAGUUUGACUUCGUUCUAUAUUUAUAAUUAUUAUGUAAUUAUGAUAUAUUUGUAAAGUUAUACUCUCAAGACUGCAUUGAUGUAAUUUUGUGCUUUUUCAAAAAUAAAAACAUUUUAGUGUGUCAAUUAAUUAAAUAUGAAAUAUUUAUUUUUACCUUCUUCUUAUCUUUAAAUAAGAACAUAAAAGGAUCUUGAGCACACUUGAACUUACGUCCUUUUGCAUUAGUAAUAAUGUAAACGCCAACCAAGCUAAAACUCAAUUGACAUCUAACUAUAUUAUUAUUAAGUCUUGAGUUAGUGUUACAAGUUAAUCGGACUCAACUAAUUAGAAAAAAGUCUACAAAUCAAUCUUUUAAAAAAAUAACAAAUAUUACUAUGAAGUGUUUUUCAUGGUUGUUUAAAUCAAAUUGGACUUGCCAGUGAGGCUGGUUGGAUUGAGAACCGAUUGAAAUACUGGCUUAGGAAAAGGCAUAAGAUUGAUUAACUUGAAAAUUGGUACGGAACAUUUGAACUAAUUUUUAUUUAUUUAUUUUGAUAAUUUUUAAUGAUUUAUUUAAUCAAAUGGACGUACCAGUUGAAUUAGUAGGACUGAUCAGUUCAACCACUAAUUUAAUUAUCUAAACUUUGAUUUUUUUCAAUUUUAUUAAAAUAUAAUUUUUAAAUUCAUAAUAAAUCUAAAAAAAGAUUUAAGACACCAAAUCCCAAAGCUUUAAACUAAAAUUUGAUUGUUUUUACAUAAUUCUUUUGGGUAAGUGACAUAAACUAUAAAAAUGAUUUGGUUUUGUAUCCCCAGAAGACAUUGCAAAUUUAAGAGUUAGGACCCAAAAGAGCUGAACAAAAUAUGAACUGAAAAAGCGAUUAAUUGGCUAUAUCAGUGGCAGACUUCUCUAACUUAUAUUAAGAAAUAUUUUAAAUGUUAAUUAAGGAUAAACAACAGUACAACAAUUAUUGUACCAAAUAUAAUUCAUGAGAAGGCGAGUUGAUCUUUGCUCAAACACUCAAAAUUCUAAUAUACGCAAUCAGCUUAGCCGCCGAAGAUCAAAUUGCAAUCCCAAUAAGAAAUAUACAAACUAAGAGAAGCAUAACAAGACAAGCAAUUAAUGCAAUAUCAUCUUCUUCGUUUUGCAAUUAUAACCAAAUACAACUACUCUUAAUGAAAUGAUAUUCCAUAAAUUUAUUUCCAACUUCAACAAAUACAAAUUCUACAUUUAUUUUUUCAUAGUGCAAUUAAAAAGAAAAAUCAUUUUGCAGGUUUCAACAUCAUCUGAGCUGACCAACUCCACUUCAUCUAAUAAUUAACGCAUUAUAUAGGAUAAGAAGAUUAUUAAUAUUAAAGAAAAUACUAUAGAUAAAUAGAUAGAUACCUUAAAAAUCCAAUUUCUCCACAAAGAGACAAAAUAUAUAGUUGAAUUCCUUGCCAACUCAUAGUCUACACAUUUUUUUGUUUUGUAAGAACAUAGAACUAGGACCUAUAUAGCAAACAAAAGAGAAAAACUUGCAUUAAUCCAUCCUUAUCCUAUCGAGAAAGAAAAAGGACCAAACAAUUAUCAUCAAACAUCCCACGUGGUUGGUUCAUGGACAUGGGGCAUGUCAUUUGUCAUGACCUUCUAAAUAAUAAUGGCAAAUAAGGAAAGUGCAUCAAAGUUUUUCACUGACAUGAGAGAGCCCACCUUGGAACUAUGAAACUACAGUUACAAAUGUUAGCAUAUCUGAUUUACAUUUGUAUAAAACAAAAGCACCAUUUAUUGAGUCAAGAUAUAACUAGGAUAUCUGAUGAUGAUAUGAUGACUAGAUUUCCCACCGUUUACAUCACAGGGAAAUUUGAUCUCUUUUCGGCUUUGGGUGAGAAUCUGACAGGUAAUAAGAUAAUGAUAUCCCAGGGAUGUAAAAGUUGAUAUGAUAACUAAUACAGGUCCCAUAUGCUUCUCAUAGCUAUAAAAC